UAUUGUUGUUCUCCUAUAGGGAUGCAG
Molecule: unclassified non-coding RNA, 27 nt
Filed under: Mus musculus (house mouse)
Lineage: Eukaryota; Metazoa; Chordata; Mammalia; Rodentia; Muridae
Description: oocyte_clustered_small_RNA7264
Source: RNAcentral